This 896-nucleotide long non-coding RNA is filed under the name Callithrix jacchus (white-tufted-ear marmoset). RNAcentral's name for it is "lncRNA (ENSCJAG00000083368.1)". Lineage: Eukaryota; Metazoa; Chordata; Mammalia; Primates; Cebidae. The record is from RNAcentral.
CAAUGCUCAUUCACCAUUCUGAAAAUCCUAGGACCGUUAAGAAUUAUGCUAGAUCUACUCUGCCUAUGCUCUAAAAUGGAACAGCAAAGCGUGGAUGGCAGCAUAUUUAUAGCAUUUACUGAGUAGUUUAAGUCCACUGUUGAGAUCUACUGCUUAGAAAAAAAAAAGAUUCCUUUCAAAAUAUUACUGCUCAUUGACAAUACACCUGGUCAUUUAAGAGCUCCACUGGAGAUUUACAAGGAGAUUGAUGUUAUUUUCAUAACUGCCAACACAACAUCCACUCUGUAGCCCAUGGGUCAAAAUGUAGUUUCGACUUUCAAAUCUUAUGUAUGAAUUGGAUUUCAUAAGUAUAUAGCUGCCAUGGGUAGUGAUUCCUCUGAGGCAUCUGGGCAAAGUAAAUUGAAACCCUCUGGAAAGGAUUCACUAUUCUAGACUCCAUUAAGAACAUUCAUGAUUCAUAAAAAGAGGUCAAAAUAUCCACAUUAACAGGAGCUUGGAAGAAGUUGAUUCCAGCCCUCAUGGAUGACUUUGAGGGGUUCAAGACUUUCUUUACAAGAAAAUAUGAAGAUGAGGUGGCAAUAGCAAGAGACCUAAAAUUGACCUAAAGAAGAACAUAUAUUCUGCAGUUUUCUCCAUAAAACUGAUCACAUGGGAUUAUGGUCAAGAGUAUGUCAUACAGAGCUGUACUGAAACAUAUGUCCUGCUGCUUCCUAACUAGUUAUGUGAAACUGGCUUCACAAAGAAGCCUGAAAUUCAGAAUGCCUGAGGACCUGGCUGUGGUCACAGAGCUGGAGAGGGGUGUAUCUGACUCUGAAGACUUCACUCUCACUACAUUUCCUGGCCUGAGCACACGUCCUCAUGGGAAUGAUACAAUGGAUGUUUGGGGGAAUUUUUAA